GACGAACGCUGGCGGCGUGCUUAACACAUGCAAGUCGAACGGAAAGGCCCUGCUUUUGUGGGGUGCUCGAGUGGCGAACGGGUGAGUAGCACGUGAGUAACCUGCCCUUGACUUUGGGAUAACUUCAGGAAACUGGGGUUAAUACCGGAUAGGAGCUCCUGCUGCAUGGUGGGGGUUGGAAAGUUUCGGCGGUUGGGGAUGGACUCGCGGCUUAUCAGCUUGUUGGUGGGGUAGUGGCUUACCAAGGCUUUGACGGGUAGCCGGCCUGAGAGGGUGACCGGCCACAUUGGGACUGAGAUACGGCCCAGACUCCUACGGGAGGCAGCAGUGGGGAAUAUUGUACAAUGGGCGGAAGCCUGAUGCAGCAGCGCCGCGUGCGGGAUGACGGCCUUCGGGUUGUAAACCGCUUUCGCCUGUGACGAAGCGUGAGUGACGGUAAUGGGUAAAGAAGCACCGGCUAACUACGUG
This 468-nucleotide ribosomal RNA is filed under the name uncultured bacterium. RNAcentral's name for it is "partial 16S ribosomal RNA". It matches the Rfam family "Bacterial small subunit ribosomal RNA", at positions 28 to 507 of the family's 1533-position model. The record is from RNAcentral.